CUUCCUUUUUCUCUGUGCAUCCUCAGUGACGCGGGGCACAGCUCUGCCCGGGGGCCUACCAGAGCCCACCUGGACCCCACACUGGGUCAGCCCUGGUGCGGAGGAGGCCGCUGUAGGCGCGGCCAGGUCACAGUCGGCACCAGAAGUUUGGCAGAUCUCAGUGAGGCGUUAGUUUGCAUUUCCUUGUGACGG
This 192-nucleotide long non-coding RNA is filed under the name Pan troglodytes (chimpanzee). RNAcentral describes it as "lincRNA". Lineage: Eukaryota; Metazoa; Chordata; Mammalia; Primates; Hominidae. The record is from RNAcentral.